This 98-nucleotide small RNA is filed under the name Citrobacter freundii. Its description in RNAcentral is "partial RtT sRNA". It matches the Rfam family "RtT RNA", at positions 35 to 130 of the family's 130-position model. Rfam says of the family: This family represents a bacterial cis-regulatory element known as RtT RNA. The exact function of RtT is unknown although it is thought that it may be involved in changing the cellular response in relation to amino acid starvation. Lineage: Bacteria; Pseudomonadati; Pseudomonadota; Gammaproteobacteria; Enterobacterales; Enterobacteriaceae. The record is from RNAcentral.
AUUAAGGUUCGACUCGAGCGAAAGCGAGAGAACGUUGCCAACGGCAACGGCCCGAAGGGUGAGGAGCGAAGCGACGAAUAAUCCUUCCCCCACCACCA